AAUAGAAUGGCUGAUAUAAGGCGGUAAAUUGUAAAUUUAUUAAUGGGUUGUACUCUUUUAUUA
This 63-nucleotide transfer RNA is filed under the name Zorotypus medoensis. RNAcentral describes it as "tRNA-Tyr". The record is from RNAcentral. Lineage: Eukaryota; Metazoa; Arthropoda; Insecta; Zoraptera; Zorotypidae.